CUCCUACGGGAGGCAGCAGUGGGGAAUAUUGGACAAUGGGCGCAAGCCUGAUCCAGCCAUGCCGCGUGAGUGAUGAAGGCCCUAGGGUUGUAAAGCUCUUUCACCGGAGAAGAUAAUGACGGUAUCCGGAGAAGAAGCCCCGGCUAACUUCGUGCCAGCAGCCGCGGUAAUACGAAGGGGGCUAGCGUUGUUCGGAAUUACUGGGCGUAAAGCGCACGUAGGCGGAUCGAUCAGUCAGGGGUGAAAUCCCAGGGCUCAACCCUGGAACUGCCUUUGAUACUGUCGAUCUGGAGUAUGGAAGAGGUGAGUGGAAUUCCGAGUGUAGAGGUGAAAUUCGUAGAUAUUCGGAGGAACACCAGUGGCGAAGGCGGCUCACUGGUCCAUUACUGACGCUGAGGUGCGAAAGCGUGGGGAGCAAACAGGAUUAGAAACCCUUGUAGUCC
RNAcentral lists this ribosomal RNA (443 nucleotides) under uncultured organism. Its description in RNAcentral is "partial 16S ribosomal RNA". It matches the Rfam family "Bacterial small subunit ribosomal RNA", at positions 336 to 796 of the family's 1533-position model. The record is from RNAcentral.